Molecule: ribosomal RNA, 399 nt
Filed under: Escherichia coli
Lineage: Bacteria; Pseudomonadati; Pseudomonadota; Gammaproteobacteria; Enterobacterales; Enterobacteriaceae
Description: partial 23S ribosomal RNA
Rfam family: Bacterial large subunit ribosomal RNA
Source: RNAcentral
CUGAUACCGGCCAAGAGUCCAUAUCGACGGCGGUGUUUGGCACCUCGAUGUCGGCUAAUCACAUACUGGGGAUGAAGUAGGUCCCAAGGGUAUGGCUGUUGGCCAUUUAAAGUGGUACGCGAGCUGGGUUUAGAACGUCGUGGGACAGUUCGGUCCCUAUCUGCCGUGGGCGCUGGAGAGCUGAGGGGGGCUGCACAUAGUACGAGAGGACGGGAGUGGACGUAUCACUGGUGUUCGGGUUGUCAUGCCAAUGGCACUGCCCGGUAGAUAAAUGCGGAAGAGAUAGGUGCUGAAAGCAUCUAAGAACGAAACUUGCCCCGAGAUGAGUUCUCACUGAAACUUUAAGGGUACUGAAGGAACGUUGAAGACGAAGACGUUGAUAGGACGGGUGUGUAAGCG